This 305-nucleotide ribosomal RNA is filed under the name uncultured bacterium. RNAcentral's name for it is "partial 16S ribosomal RNA". It matches the Rfam family "Bacterial small subunit ribosomal RNA", at positions 505 to 809 of the family's 1533-position model. The record is from RNAcentral.
ACAGCAGUCGCCACGGUAAUACAGAGGGUGCGAGCGUUAAUCGGAUUUACUGGGCGUAAAGCGUGCGUAGGCGGCUAAUUGAGUCGGAUGUGAAAUCCCCGAGCUUAACUUGGGAAUUGCAUUCGAUACUGGUUAGCUAGAGUGUGGGAGAGGAUGGUAGAAUUCCAGGUGUAGCGGUGAAAUGCGUAGAGAUCUGGAGGAAUACCGAUGGCGAAGGCAGCCAUCUGGCCUAACACUGACGCUGAGGUACGAAAGCAUGGGGAGCAAACAGGAUUAGAUACCCCCGUAGUCCCUGUCUCUUAUAA